AACAACAAAGUUAUCGGUAGUAUCCCUUCUUCGAUAUGCAACUCCAGCUAUCUUGAAGUACUUGAGUUAUCAAACAACAGUUUGAAUGGCAUAAUACCACCAUGUUUAGCAGAAAAGAGCAGCACACUGAAAGUACUGAACCUGGGAAAGAACAAUCUCAUAGGAGAUAUACCUGAAAAGUUUUCUUAUAAUUGUGAGUUGCAGAGCCUUGACCUCAGUCAGAAUCACUUAACAGGUCUGCUUCCUCGUUCUUUGUCCAACUGCACAAAGUUAAAGGUAAUAAAUAUUGGAAACAACAAGAUCAAGGAUACUUUUCCCUGCUGGUUGAGGAACAUGUCAGAUCUUCGUGUACUUGUAUUACGCUUCAAUGGUUUCCAUGGGAACAUUGAUUGCUCACGUGUGAAUUCCAACUGGACUGCACUUCAAAUCAUGGACCUAGCUUCCAACAAUUUAGGGGGUGUUCUUCCCCGAGGUUCAUUCUUGGAGCUAAAAGCAAUGAUGGCUGACCCAUCUUUAACACAUUCACGCUCUGAUAUCUUGCAUUUUGAGUCUUCUAUUAGGCCAAUAUAUUAUCAGGACAGAGUCACUCUUUCUCUUAAAGGACAAGAUGUUACACAGACAAAGAUCUUUAUCUUCUUCACCUCCAUUGACUUUUCAAGUAACAAUUUUGUGGGGAACAUACCAGAGAUAGUUGGAGAUCUCAGAUCACUUAAUCUUCUCAAUAUUUCACACAACAAUCUCACGGGUCAAAUACCUCCAGCAAUUGGAAAUUUGAAGCAAUUGGAAUCACUGGACCUCUCAUUCAACAAGUUAGGUGGCAAUAUCCCAGAAAAGCUUGCUAGCCUCACAUUUCUUUCCUUCUUAAAUUUAUCAUCUAAUGAAUUGGUCGGAAUGAUUCCACGAGGCAACCAAAUUCAAACAUUUGGAGAAAGUUCUUUUGAAGGAAACAAGGGGCUAUGUGGGUUUCCGCUGAACAGAACUUGCAAGAAUAAUUCAGCAGAUGCACCUUCUGAACCAGAAGUUGAAGAGGAAGAAUUCAUUUCAAUGACGGAGAUUUAUGUAAGUGCUAUGUUGGGAUUUAUUGUUGGUAUUGGGAUCAUCUUCCUACCACUUCUGUUCUCAAAAAGAUGGAACCAGUCGUACAACAGAAUAAUUAACAGAUUAAUUUUAAGGAUAUUUCAGCAGCAAAAUCAAGAAAAGAAAACUAGUAGCAGUAGUGUAGCAUCUUGGAAAAAGGCAGCAGGGAAAUCAAGAGGCAGACAUUAAUUUCACAGGAUGUAACACUUCCUUGCAGCAUGCUGCUCACUAUUAGUACUUCUAAUUGUUUCCACUAUGAGUUAUCUGUGUUUGUUUACCUUUCAUGAUUCAUUUUAGUUGCUUCUUAUUACAUAGAAGAACACAAAGCAAUCUUGCAUUCUGUUUUAGGUAACGGUCAGUGAAUAGCCAUAACUAAACUGAUAACAACCUUUCUCAUUUUUUAAGAAACAAAAGCCAACUAGGCCAUUUUCUAAGUACAAUAUAGUUUAUACAAGUUCUCCCUUAUCUUCGAAGUUAGAGUCGUUCUGCGCAGACAAUAAGACUUCUUGAAGUUCCUCACUGAUGUCUUUAUCGCCAUCCUGCUCUUCAGCCACUUCUUGUUGGGAGAACUUAUCCUGCCCUUCUCAGACAACGUCAACUGAGAUUUGACAGGCCGAUGACAAAUACCAGUUUUCUUUUAAAAUAAUUCCUUCUGAGUUUUCCAGUCAUCAGCUGUCUUCUUGACCAUGUCUCCUAUCAAUGUCUGGUUCUGUGUUAUGUGCUUUAUGUUUUCUACAUCCACCAUGUCACUAGCCCCUUUGAUAGCUAGAUCUUUGGCCUGUGCAUAUUCUGCCGAUUUUUGCUUGAGCAAAUCCACCUCAUAUCCAUGUGGGUGAAGUGCUCAAUCCGGCUAUUUGCAAAUAACUUUUGCACGCUAUUUGGAUACUUGCAUUUUGUAUUUCUUCCAGUUCAUCAUCUCCCCGAUGCCGAGGUUUCAUAUACAUCCACAAAGCCAAAAAGAAACAUGUUCCUAUCUAGUAUAUGUUUGACUAGAGCUGGGACUAGUUUAACAUCUUUGGCCUUUGCCUUAGCGACAAGACUUCUAAGAUUCUUCAACUCUCCCAGAGAUAUAUAAAUCUUGAAAGGAGGCAGGCCUGAAUGGCCGUCUCAUAAAGGCAAUAUAAUCCACCUAGUCUCCUUAAAAGAGAAUGAGUAGAGACUAUGUAACCACUGCAGUAUGCAUAGAGUGAUUGUAUAAAGCAUGCCUGAUCUUUAGAUGGACUAUAGGAGAACUUUUUAGAAAUCCACACUCUUCAUUUCUGCAAAAGUAGGAGAUCCACCCUUGGCAAACUCAUUUAUAUGCUCCUCGAUGUCUAAUUUGAAUGGCACAAUGUCCUUGUUGACUUCUUUUUCUUUUUUUUCUUUUUUGUCCUUGUUGACCGCCUUGACAUCAAAUUUUCAAAGGCAUUUGACAGCUUGUUGAACCUUUAAGCUUCCUGCUUAACCCUAAUUCUCUCCUUGCAAAUCCUUUAUGUCCAUUAUCCACGCUAAAUGGCUCCUGCACAAUUUUUGCCUGAAAGUGUAUGAUUUGGACAAAAGUUCAUCUACUAUACAGUAGAUAAUGUGGUACACUGGUGUGGGUACUUCACCCUUAACUAGAGGUUUCAGGUUCGAGCCCUGGAUAUGGAGAAAAUCAUGUUGGGAGCGCCACCCCGAAUGGGCCCUGCAGUGCGCAGUCCGAAUUUAGUCGAAGCUCCAAUGUGGGCUCCAGACACCGGAUGGAAAACCAAAAAAAAAUAAAAUGUAUUAAUGCAUAUUCAUGUAACGUUCUCAAAAGUAAACCAAAGUAUAUUCGAUCAGACUUCACAUUUGAUUUGAAAUUAACAGAAAAAUCAAUUCACGAAACAGAGUUUUGAGCUUGAAAACCUUGAUUAUGAAGGAUUCAGAGUUGAUUUCUAUGAACAAAGACAGCAUCCGAACUCAGAUAGUUCCUUCGAAUUCACAAGUCUGAAUGUUAAAUUAUGUCUUAAUCCUAACUCACCCACAAGUCUUACAAGGAGUCCAUCUAUCUCAAUAACCAGUAAUGUGGAAUUUUUGCUUUAACACCCACCUCACGCCCAGUGCCCUGUUGCGUGGACACUUUUGGGCAAUUUUUUACCACCUCACGCUUAGUGAUGUCAGUGCUUAGCAUCUUGUGCGUGGACAAUAAUUUGGGCAAUUUUUGAUUUUUUUUUUUUUUUUGGGCCGGUGAGAUAGCCUUGUUCUAAUAUCAUGUUAAAUUAGGUUUAAGCCUAAUUCACAUCCCAAAAACUAACUCUAACAGAGGAGUAUUGUUCAAACCUUAUAAGAGUCCACCAUCUCAUUAACCAUGACUUUUUGCUUUUAACACUGAAUAGCACACAAACUUUCAUGGUGGACAUAUUUAAGCUGAUCAACGAUCAAUCUGCAAAAAAAAAACAUCUAUGUAUACACGUAUUUGAUCAACGAGCUAUGAAGGUUUUCCCGCCAAAAAAACUUCGAGAAAGAGGGAAAAUGCCCAAGAAACGCGUUUGGUGUGUGUUUAUAAAAGAUUUGAAACCUACUAUUAAUAAGUACUACUAAUAAAUUUGUCAAUUUUAAUUUAAGAUUAACCCAGAUUACUCCAUUCAUCUCAAAAAUAAUUGAAUUGUUUCACCUCAUUUGAUAUUCAAAUUUCAAUUAUAUUUCGGUUGUCUCAAUUUAUAUAACAUCAGGUAAAUAAUAUUACUCCUGCUAUCCCAUAUUUUUUGUUUAGUGUGACAUAUUUUAUUUCUUAGUUUAUCAAAAAAUAAUAAUUAGAAAACUAAGAAAACAUUGUCAAUCUCAAUUUCUGAAUCAAAGGAGGGAAUACCGUAUUUAUAAAGUUAGAUAUGAGAUGUUAAUUUCACAUAGUACAAAGUACAAACUAAGGAGUAAGGAUGCUGUUCAAAUAACAAUGCUUGGGUUUUACACAGCUUAUGAUUGGAGUAUUUAUUUUUGUCAGAUGUUUUGUUUCUUACUUAAUAUAUAUAUAUAUUUGUGACACGUUUCAACAAAAAAAAAAAAAAAAACUAAUGAUGGGAAUAUAACUUUCUUACUACUAUAUACUAAGAUAAUUUCACAUGUAAAUAUAGACAAUAGUCAAAACAAAUAUAAGCAACAUCCAGUGGAAAACCGUGUAGGUCCACACUCCAGUUUCCACUGUCUAUCAAUUUCAAAAAUAAAUUGAUAUUAUAAGUAGACACGCGAUGUCAGCGUAUUUAAAAUAAUACAUAAAUUAAUCAUCUUGCUUUACUCAUGUUUGGUUGGCGCUAGUAUUUAAAAUAGGCAAAAAAUGGAUCUGUUAGCCCAAAAAAAUAAUUAUUCAAACAAAUCCUGCUGUUUAUUUGCGAGGAUUUUGCUAUUUUAUACGUUUCAGAUCUGAAGAAACUUGGAACUUCUUUUUCUGUUGAGAGUCCAAAUGAGAAGUGAAAUGUUUUCCCAGCUUUUCUUGAUCCUUCUACUCUCCAUCUGCUGUAAAACGAGUGAUGUAGUGGCAGCUAAUUCCAGUAAAUGUCUUGAGGAUCAGAAGAUGUUGCUGCUGCAGCUGAGAAAUAAGCUUACUUAUGAUUAUGAAAUAUCUACCAAGCUAGUGAAGUGGAGCCAGAUGAUUGACUGCUGUCAAUGGGAGGGUGUCACUUGCAACGGUGAAGGCCAAGUUAUUGGUCUUGACCUUAGUGCUGAAUCAUUCUCGGGCAGCAUCAAUCCGUUAGCUAAUCUCAAGUAUCUCUCUGUUAUCCGUCUUGAUGGGAACAAUUUAUCUGCACCAUUUCCAGAGUUCUUCGCGGAAUUCACCAAUCUAACUGUCUUGAGUCUAAGUUCCUGCAACUUGAUAGGAGAAGCACCUCAGAAGAUAUUCCAGGUACCAACUCUACAGACAAUUGACUUAUCAGUAAACGAUAUGCUUGGGGGUUCUUUACCUGAAUUUCCUUCAAAAGGAUCUUUACAAUCACUGGUGCUUACUGCUACAAAAUUUUCAGGAAUUUUACCCGAGUCCAUAGGGAACCUUAGGAAGUUGUCGCGUGUUGAACUUAGAGCUUGUAAUUUUAUAGGUUCAAUUCCAUCUUCUAUGGAAAAUCUAACCCAGCUUGUUCUUCUGGAUUUCGAGUUGAAUAGCUUCACGAGUUCAUUUCCAUCUUUUAAGCUGUCCACAAAUCUCACUCGUAUAUACUCUGCUGGAAAUAGAUUGACAGGUAUAUCAUCCGACUGGCAAGGCCUUGAGAAUCUUGAGUAUCUUGACUUGAGUAACAAUUCAAUUUCUGGUCUCAUUCCAGCAUCAUUGUUUUACCUACCCUCACUUUCAGAUUUAGUUCUGUCCAACAACAAGUUUUCUGGCCAAAUAACUGAAUUACAAAAUGUGAUUUCUCCACUAACAAGUCUUGACUUGAGUUCCAACAAAUUGGAAGGGCCAAUACCUGAGUUUUUAUUUGACCUGCAUGAUCUUUACGGUCUUUCACUUUCAUUCAACAAGUUUAACGGUACUGUACAGUUGAAGAAGUUCACAAACAUCAAUAAACUUGUAGAUCUUGAUCUGUCCCACAACAGUAUAUCAGUUGACACAAAUAUAAGUGAGUCGGACCUUGCCCUGCUACCCCAGCUGAACAGUUUCAUGUUAGCGUCAUGCAAUCUGCAGAAUAUUUCCUUCCUCAAGAACCAAUCAAAGUUGUCGAUGUUAGAUCUCUCAAACAGCCAACUUACGGGUGAAAUACCAAACUGGCUGGUGGAAAUCAAUGAUGGACUUCUCCGUUUUCUGAAUCUUUCUUUCAAUCAAUUCACACAUCUUCAAGAACCUUAUACAUUUGGCUUCCUGAAUUUCCUUGAUCUGCAUUCAAAUCUGCUCACUGGGGUUAUUCCAGUACCACCACGUGCAGCUGCUUAUAUUGACUUCUCCAACAAUAACUUUUCUACUUUUCCACCUGACUUUGGCAAUUAUCUAGUAACUGCUCGGUUCCUCUCAAUUGCAAACAACAAAGUUAUCGGUAGUAUCCCUUCUUCGAUAUGCAACUCCAGCUAUCUUGAAGUACUUGAGUUGUCUAACAACAGUUUGAAUGGCAUAGUACCACCAUGUUUAGCAGAAAAGAGCAGCACACUGAAAGUAUUGAACCUGGGAAAGAACAAUCUCAUAGGAAAUAUACCUGAAAAGUUUUCUUAUAAUUGUGAAUUACAGAGCCUUGACCUCAGUCAGAAUCACUUAACAGGUGUGCUUCCUCGUUCUUUGUCCAACUGCACAAAGUUAAAGGUAUUAAAU
Molecule: long non-coding RNA, 6301 nt
Filed under: Solanum tuberosum (potato)
Lineage: Eukaryota; Viridiplantae; Streptophyta; Magnoliopsida; Solanales; Solanaceae
Description: long non-coding RNA (STUB_LNC002268)
Source: RNAcentral